RNAcentral lists this unclassified non-coding RNA (269 nucleotides) under uncultured Ascomycota. RNAcentral describes it as "sequence contains 5.8S rRNA gene, ITS2, 28S rRNA gene". Lineage: Eukaryota; Fungi; Ascomycota. The record is from RNAcentral.
AACGCAUAUUGCGCCCGCCGGUACUCCGACGGGCAUGCCUGUUCGAGCGUCAGUGAAAAAAUAUCAAGCGUCACUUGGUGUUGGGCCUCGUUGAAUCCGACGGGCCUCGAACCUCCGGCGACUGCGAGACGCGUACCCCAGAGCGCUGUCGGAGAGAUCUUGUAGCGUUCGUUUGCGGGUCGCGGCCUGACGUCCGCCCGGGAGGGCUCGCCCUCCUCGAAACAUCACCGUUUGACCUCGGAUCAGGUAGGGAUACCCGCUGAACUUAA